UUGGAGCCUAAUGCCAACCUAGAUGAUUAGAAUUGAGAGCUCAGUUUUUGUUUACACAACACACAGCUUUAAUAAAUUUUGUAGAAUCGGCUUGAACGUUGGAAGAGCUUGUCGUUGGAACAUUGGAGCCUAGCCGUUGGGAGAUUGAUGCUUGAACGUUGGAGCCUAAGGCCAGCUGGACUAGCCGUUGGAGAUUCAUGCAUUUGAAGGCAUGGUCUAUAAAAUCAGGGCAAGAGAGGGUAAGAGGAUUUGUGGUAGGGACUGGUAGUGGGACUGAGAUUCAUACAUUUGAAGCCAUGGCCUAUAAAAUCAGGGCAAGAGAGGUAGAGAUUCAUACAUUUGAAGCCAUGCUCUGUAAAAUCAGGGCAAGAGAGGGAUAGAGGAUUUGUGGCAGUGGGACUGAGCUUUGCAUUUACAUUGGAGUGUUGGGUCAUUGGACAGAAGGUGCUUACGGAAUUAUUUGUCUCUUUGAAAGAUUUAGAAACUGAGUCCCAACGUGCGACGAAACUCUCGGUUCAUGGUUAAAAGGGCUUGACAGUGAGCUGGUUGUGAUCGAUCAGACAUUAGCGAAGGCCAAUUUUCAUCUCUUAAUUUACAUGUUUUGCAUGAGUGACAAUUUAAAAGGAGGUUUGGACAAGUGAGACAUUGAAGGAUUUGUGCACAAUGAUGAAAGUUGAAAAGGGAUCAAUGUAUAAUAUUGUUUAAUAAUGGAGUGGAAGAAUAAAACAUGCAAAUUGAUUAUUAUCAUUAUUUAUUGUAAACAUUCCUCAACAAUUAUAAUCAAUAAAGAUAUACCAUUUUUUUUCGAGGAGGGGUAGAAAUAUCCCUCCAAAAACUCUCAAAGAUGGCCAUGGACAUCUUUGAGAGUCUUUCUUGCUUCUCUACUAGUAUUAUCUUGUUUCAUUUUGUUUUUGAUUGUUUUAAAUUGGUCAAAAAUAUGA
This is a long non-coding RNA of Cryptomeria japonica (Japanese cedar), 941 nucleotides long. RefSeq lists it as uncharacterized. The record is from RefSeq and is a predicted model, not a curated record. Lineage: Eukaryota; Viridiplantae; Streptophyta; Pinopsida; Cupressales; Cupressaceae. The transcript is spliced from 3 exons.